Molecule: ribosomal RNA, 391 nt
Filed under: uncultured bacterium
Lineage: Bacteria
Description: bacterial SSU rRNA
Rfam family: Bacterial small subunit ribosomal RNA
Source: RNAcentral
AACGAACGCUGGCGGCGCGCCUAAUACAUGCAAGUCGAGCGAGAAGACGUAGCAAUACGUUUGUAAAGCGGCGAACGGGUGAGGAAUACAUGGGUAACCUACCCUCGAGUGGGGAAUAACUAGCCGAAAGGUUAGCUAAUACCGCGUACGCUCCUUGGACUUCGGUUCAGGGAGGAAAGCGAUACCGUGGGUAUCGCGCUCUUGGAUGGGCUCAUGUCCUAUCAGCUUGUUGGUGAGGUAACGGCUCACCAAGGCUUCGACGGGUAGCUGGUCUGAGAGGACGAUCAGCCACACUGGCACUGCGACACGGGCCAGACUCCUACGGGAGGCAGCAGUAAGGAAUAUUGCGCAAUGGGCGAAAGCCUGACGCAGCGACGCCGCGUGGGGGGAU